GUAAAGGUGGAUAAAAAAAACUGAUAUUGCGAAGUUUUAUCGCGAGUGAAAGCUUUUAUAAAGUAUAAUUCUAUUGGUUUUCGGAAGUAGUUCUUUAAGUUAAAUAGAGUGUGAAGCAAAACCGGCAGGAUUAGAAAGGCGAGCGAUCCCAUUCAACGUGGGUGUUUGUUCUGGACCGCCAGAAUCCGGACCGUCAUCACACUCGGUCGUCGCUAGGUGGCAAGCAGCCUGACCACCACCUUGGGUCCGGGUCACCUAAUACCCGUAGCACCCGGCUGUGCGGCCGCUCUAGGAAACGACGAUUUCGAACCGAUCCGAAGAACCCACGUGCGUCGACGCCAUCCGUAGCCAUCCUUCGUUGGAUCUCCAAAGCCAGCUGGCCAGCAAG
This is a long non-coding RNA of Armigeres subalbatus, 388 nucleotides long. RefSeq lists it as uncharacterized. The transcript is spliced from 3 exons. Lineage: Eukaryota; Metazoa; Arthropoda; Insecta; Diptera; Culicidae. The record is from RefSeq and is a predicted model, not a curated record.